GUCGCCUGGGCGCGACAGCGGCUGCAGCGGCGCACUGUCGGACGGCGUCGGCGAGCCCCGCACUCGUAAUGCGUAGGUCUCGGGUUCGAAUCCCGAAGGCGGCUCCA
This 107-nucleotide transfer RNA is filed under the name Streptomyces sp. S.PB5. Its description in RNAcentral is "tRNA-OTHER". Lineage: Bacteria; Bacillati; Actinomycetota; Actinomycetes; Kitasatosporales; Streptomycetaceae. The record is from RNAcentral.